This 1822-nucleotide long non-coding RNA is filed under the name Equus caballus (horse). Its description in RNAcentral is "lncRNA (ENSECAG00000048071.1)". Lineage: Eukaryota; Metazoa; Chordata; Mammalia; Perissodactyla; Equidae. The record is from RNAcentral.
CCCAGGACCAACUUGUUUACUGAUUGUUUUCACUUGGCACAACCAGUUAGCUAAACUUGCUUGACUAUAUGACCAGAGAGUCAUAAAAGACCCCACUGGGAAUUUACCUCCCGGUAGAUUAUCUCCUGAGGUCAAGAUUCAUUGUGCAGAUCUUGAAGGUUCAGUCUGGAGAGGAAGCCCUUGGAGAGCUAAGAAGGACCUUUUGGAGCUUGCGCAUGGGCUGUCUCUGGACCUCCAAUGCUUGCCUGCACUCUUCUCUUGCUGCACUGCAUGCAACCUCUGCCUGUGUAUUAAAGCCUUCUGUGACUCCGCCUUGUGGAUCCUGGUUAAGUUUAGCCAUGUGAAAAAUUUGCUUGAGAUUUGGAAGGCAGAAGUGAAGCAGCAGCCUUUAUGCUCUAAAGCUCAGUGCCGGAUGUCAUCUACUGUGACAGCUGUUGCCUAUUGCUUCUGGUCUACUGGCUGCGCUUAGUGUUGUGGGGAAGCACCCAGACCCACAGCAUCUCCAGCUCUCUCCAGGUCUCCUCUUUCAGCUUCUUCAAGUCCUUAAUUAGAUGGAGAGAAGAUAGUGACUGUAGCUGCACCUAAAUGUGGAGAUUUGGUGGCAGAAAGAAGCUUCUGGUUUGAGAAAUUUUGGAUAUGAAUAUGGGGGAAGCAAAAGCCUUGAACAUGCAUGUGCUCAAUUUAAUUGUUUCUUGAACAGAAUGAACUACGGAAUGCUGGCAACUCCCAGAAGCUGGAAGAGGCAAGGAGUGGACUUUCCCCUACAGCCCGCAGAGGGAGUGAGGCACCUGCCGAUGAAUUGAUUUUAGCCCAGUGGUACUGAUUCCAGACUUCUGGCCUCCAGAACGAUAAGAGAAUGAACUUCUGUUGUUUGAAGUCACCAAGUUUGUGGUAAUUUGUAACAACAGUCACAAGAAACUAAUACAAAAGGUAUAAAGCAACAUUUCUUUUGAGUAAAUGUUAGUUUUCGUGCUGAUUCCAAAUGCAAGUGUUAACAAAGGUAUGGUAAACUGCUUUUCAAAAUGAAAAUUUCAAUCAAAAUGAUGUGUCAUUGACAAAAUAAAUUUUCUUUUCAGAAACUUUCAUUUAUGAGUUCGAAUAUAACUAGUAAACAGAGUGCAUGAAGGCAUUUGACAAAAUCAUUUUGUUUACUGAGCUUUUUUUAAACUGAUGAAUCUUCUCAUAUGAAGUGUUUUGUUGAUCUGCCAGUGAGUUUUUUUUAAUUUGUCGAGCACAGUGAAACUGACUGAAUUAUCUAAUAAAAGAAUAAACCUUUUAAAAACAUCUCUUUUCUUUUGGUUUAAUAUCUACUGAUCCUACUUUUAUUCUGGACUUUUUCAAAACUAAUACCUGAUGGGGAAACAAAAUGUAUAACAUGAAUCUAAAUUCUAGCAAAACAGUCAGUUAUUAUUUAACAGCAUUUACCCUUAUAUAAAGUCUCUAAAAUGUGGCCUUCUAUCCAAAGAAGUGAUAGCAUUUAAAGGAAGACUUGUGGAAGUUUCGAGAAGCAAGAUUCUUGUAGCAACUACUGAAACAGGGAGAGUGGCUAACUGCCUGUUUUUCUAGAAACUUCUCAGUGUGGUGUGCUUGAUCUUGGUAAUAAAUAUGUGCCUAAAGUGGUGCAGUUUCAGAAGCCUGACUUUGUUGAUUACUCCCAGCGGAUCCAGUGGCAAUCAGUACAAUAUCUCAUUCAUUUCUCUGGGUCCUGGGGAUGUGACACUAAACAAACAAAAAGUGGAGGAAGACAGACAAAAAUAAACAAACAAGUAUUAUCAAUAGUGACAAGUACUGGGCAAAAAAUUUGGCAAGAUAAGUUGAAUAU